GAUUCAUAGCUUCGUGAAGGAACACCCAGUGACUGGAAGGAAGCAGAAACAUGGGGAACAACUGAAGAAAGAAGAGGGGUAAGGAAAAUUUGUGAAAUCUGGGAAUGAAGAGAGGAUCCAGUGGUUCAUGCAUCACUUCCACCCUCCACUGAGACAAGAAACUGCCAGCAGAGCAGUAAAAACAUCCCAAGGAAGGCCGACGGGAGAACACGGGCGAGGACUGUUCCGCCUUCUGCCGCCCAUCACCGGACAGGGCCAGCCACAGCCGGGCCUCUGUCUACCCUUCAUGCCCCCUGAUUACCCUCAUUAGUCGGCUGCGAGGACUCAUUCCUCCCCUGCGUUCUCCCAAGACACCGGCAGCAGCAGCAGCAGCAGCCAAGUGGGGAGUGAAAGCCUGACGCGCGGCGGCCUGUGCCUCUCACGCGACCCUCGAACUUCGAGACAGUGGAUUCGAGUGGCAGUGAAGAGGCAGCGAGGGCAGUGGACGGACAGCUGUGGAGGAAGACGCUUGUAUGUUCAAGUAGCUGGUGGAGAGGACGCCGGCGGGUGAGGAUGAAGGUCACGUAAUACCGAAUGAACCCGUCUCACACAAGUUUCGUGACCUACUCGAGCGUGUGGUUCAGUGGCGGCAGCUGUGGCGGUGGCAGUUGGAAGAGGACACCUAUAUAUGCAAGUGCCUGGUGAUGACAGCGGUGGACGAGGACGGAGGUACCGAGGGUAGUGGUGGGGUGAGAGAUGGAUGUGCGGGACGGAGCGAUGAUGAUCGAUGGAGGGCAACAGCGAAAGCGCAGAAGAAAGAUGAAGACAUGAGACAAAGUGAAGAUGGAGGCACAGCAGGCAUGAGGGAGGGAGAAUCGGGUGGCGGAUACUUUUGAUGGGGAUGCGAUCACGUUCACGUAUGAAAA
This is a long non-coding RNA of Scylla paramamosain (green mud crab), 905 nucleotides long. RefSeq lists it as uncharacterized. The record is from RefSeq and is a predicted model, not a curated record. Lineage: Eukaryota; Metazoa; Arthropoda; Malacostraca; Decapoda; Portunidae. The transcript has 6 exons.